GUGGUGGUAGUAGUGGUAGUACUAGUAAUAAUAGUGCUGGUGGUUGUGGUAGUGGUGGGUGUGGUGGUAGUAGUAGUAGUAGUAGGUGUGGUGGUGGUAGUAGUAGUAGUAAUAGGUGUGGUAGUAGUAGUAGUAGUAAUAGGUGUGGUGGUAGUAGUAGUAGUAAUAGGUGUGGUGGUGGUAGUAGUAGUAGUAGUAGUAGUAGUAGUAGUAGUAGAAGUAAUAGUAGUGAUAGUACCACAAAUAAUAGUGGCAGUGCAAAAUCAGUACAGGGAUGAGAUGAACUGAAAGUCCACAGAGAUCUUAAACCUUUCAGAGAAGGAAGUCUGACAUGCCACAAGUGGACUCAGGAGAGUCUCUCCUCUCCGUCACUGUUUCUCC
Molecule: long non-coding RNA, 381 nt
Organism: Ictalurus punctatus (channel catfish)
Lineage: Eukaryota; Metazoa; Chordata; Actinopteri; Siluriformes; Ictaluridae
Source: Ensembl